Fopius arisanus is the source of this 1105-nucleotide long non-coding RNA. RefSeq lists it as uncharacterized. The transcript is spliced from 4 exons. The record is from RefSeq and is a predicted model, not a curated record. Lineage: Eukaryota; Metazoa; Arthropoda; Insecta; Hymenoptera; Braconidae.
UGCGCUUAGUAGUCUUUCCUGCGAGAUAACACGCUCUUCAUUUACCAUAUUCUUUUAUUUGUUCACGAAAAAUAAAUCCUUUUAGUUAAAUAAAACUCGUCAUUUUUUUCUAUAACAGUGUCACCUACGCCUAGAACAGGAAUGGAUUAAAUGUAGAGAGGUUAUUCCUGGCGGUUCGAGAAUUACCAUGAAAGUAAAACAGUAAAUUUGACGAUUAUUCAUGGAAUAAACAAAAUCAUUGGAAAUUGUGAACUUCAACUAUGAUAUUCAAUCAAUGGGAAAACCGAAAAAGGCUGGAAUUAUUGGACCUGGAACGAUACAUUAGUGGAUAGACUGCGGUCCCUAGUGGGGCUGGAAUUAAACAUCGAAAAACUUGUCCUGGAACUCAUCUGUACUUGUACGUUAUACAUCGUCUCCAUAAGGGCGAAGCUGUUAAUUUUGAAUGAAAGAAAUUGCCUCCACCUUUAUUUUUUCAAUGUUUAUCACAAGUCACUAUGAAGAACGGGAAAACUUGUGCUCGUCAUUUUGUCGAGAAUUCUCUCAGCUUCUCGAAAAACAACGUUUUCCCAUCAAUUUUUGUAUUUUGGCUUAUAAAAUACAGCAUAAAUGUUUCCAACAUUUAUUUGGGCUUAUUACUCAUACCAAACGGAUAUUCUUUUGCUGAUUUCCACUGUAAAGCUGCGAGCAUUUACUAACAAAUAAUUUUUUGUGCUCUCAACAAUCAACUCAACAAAUACAAAUGUUAUUAAAAAAAAUCUCUACAUGUGAAGAAACAAACAUUCAUCUCCAUGAAUUCAUGAUCAUGAUAGGUUGAUAUUAGGAAAAACAAAAACAGAAACUUACAUUUGAACCAAUAUGAAGCUUCCAUUCGAAAGCUAAAAUAUUGGGAAUUUUCGUGGAUUGAAUUAGAUGUGAUCUCCAUGACAAAUUCCACUUUUUUCUGAAUGUAUCGGCGUUUUAUAUGAAUGUCGCAAAAGUACAAAGUUUUCAAAAUAUUCAGAUGAAACAGAAGUUUUUUUAGUUUAGAAAAUAUUUAACUCAGGUGUUUGGGACUGGAAUUUAUGGCUCCGGAACAAUACGUUAGUUGACGGAUCUUGUCCUUCAA